Molecule: unclassified non-coding RNA, 240 nt
Filed under: soil metagenome
Description: partial contains 5.8S ribosomal RNA, internal transcribed spacer 2, and large subunit ribosomal RNA
Source: RNAcentral
AACCUUAUGGACCUGCGGGCGUAUACCUGCGGAAGGAUCAUUACACAACAAAAUAUGAAGGUCUGGCUUCGCGGCCGGCUGAAGUAUUUUUUUUCACCCAUGUCUUUUGCGCACUUGUUGUUUCCUGGGCGGGUUCGCCCGCCACCAGGACCAAACCAUAAACCUUUUCUUUAUGUAGUUGCAAUCAGCGUCAGUAAAAACAAUGUAAUUAUUACAACUUUUAACAAUGGAUCUCAGAUC